This 471-nucleotide ribosomal RNA is filed under the name Prevotella multiformis. Its description in RNAcentral is "bacterial SSU rRNA". It matches the Rfam family "Bacterial small subunit ribosomal RNA", at positions 28 to 485 of the family's 1533-position model. Lineage: Bacteria; Pseudomonadati; Bacteroidota; Bacteroidia; Bacteroidales; Prevotellaceae. The record is from RNAcentral.
GAUGAACGCUGGCUACAGGCUUAACACAUGCAAGUCGAGGGGAAACGGCGUUGAGUGCUCGCACUCUUCGGACGUCGACCGGCGCACGGGUGAGUAACGCGUAUCCAACCUUCCCGUCACUGCGGGAUAACCUGCCGAAAGGCAGACUAAUACCGCAUGGCCUUCACUGACGGCAUCAGAGGUGAAGUAAAGCUUUUUAGCGGUGACGGACGGGGAUGCGUCUGAUUAGCUGGUUGGCGGGGCGACGGCCCACCAAGGCUACGAUCAGUAGGGGUUCUGAGAGGAAGGUCCCCCACAUUGGAACUGAGACACGGUCCAAACUCCUACGGGAGGCAGCAGUGAGGAAUAUUGGUCAAUGGGCGGAAGCCUGAACCAGCCAAGUAGCGUGCAGGAUGACGGCCCUACGGGUUGUAAACUGCUUUUAUGCGGGGAUAAAGUGAGGGACGUGUCCCUUUUGCAGGUACCGCAUGA